UAAUAGCUCACUGGUCGAGUCGGCCUGCGCGGAAGAUGUAACGGGGCUAAACCAUGCACCGAAGCUGCGGCAGCGACACUGUGUGUUGUUGGGUAGGGGAGCGUUCUGUAAGCCUGUGAAGGUGUGCUGUGAGGCAUGCUGGAGGUAUCAGAAGUGCGAAUGCUGACAUAAGUAACGAUAAAGCGGGUGAAAAGCCCGCUCGCCGGAAGACCAAGGGUUCCUGUCCAACGUUAAUCGGGGCAGGGUGAGUCGACCCCUAAGGCGAGGCCGAAAGGCGUAGUCGAUGGGAAACAGGUUAAUAUUCCUGUACUUGGUGUUACUGCGAAGGGGGGACGGAGAAGGCUAUGUUGGCCGGGCGACGGUUGUCCCGGUUUAAGCGUGUAGGCUGGUUUUCCAGGCAAAUCCGGAAAAUCAAGGCUGAGGCGUGAUGACGAGGCACUACGGUGCUGAAGCAACAAAUGCCCUGCUUCCAGGAAAAGCCUCUAAGCAUCAGGUAACAUCAAAUCGUACCCCAAACCGACACAGGUGGUCAGGUAGAGAAUACCAAGGCGCUUGAGAGAACUCGGGUGAAGGAACUAGGCAAAAUGGUGCCGUAACUUCGGGAGAAGGCACGCUGAUAUGUAGGUGAAGUCCCUCGCGGAUGGAGCUGAAAUCAGUCGAAGAUACCAGCUGGCUGCAACUGUUUAUUAAAAACACAGCACUGUGCAAACACGAAAGUGGACGUAUACGGUGUGACGCCUGCCCGGUGCCGGAAGGUUAAUUGAUGGGGUCAGCGCAAGCGAAGCUCUUGAUCGAAGCCCCGGUAAACGGCGGCCGUAACUAUAACGGUCCUAAGGUAGCGAAAUUCCUUGUCGGGUAAGUUCCGACCUGCACGAAUGGCGUAAUGAUGGCCAGGCUGUCUCCACCCGAGACUCAGUGAAAUUGAACUCGCUGUGAAGAUGCAGUGUACCCGCGGCAAGACGGAAAGACCCCGUGAACCUUUACUAUAGCUUGACACUGAACAUUGAGCCUUGAUGUGUAGGAUAGGUGGGAGGCUUUGAAGUGUGGACGCCAGUCUGCAUGGAGCCGACCUUGAAAUACCACCCUUUAAUGUUUGAUGUUCUAACGUGGACCCGUGAUCCGGGUUGCGGACAGUGUCUGGUGGGUAGUUUGACUGGGGCGGUCUCCUCCUAAAGAGUAACGGAGGAGCACGAAGGUUGGCUAAUCCUGGUCGGACAUCAGGAGGUUAGUGCAAUGGCAUAAGCCAGCUUGACUGCGAGCGUGACGGCGCGAGCAGGUGCGAAAGCAGGUCAUAGUGAUCCGGUGGUUCUGAAUGGAAGGGCCAUCGCUCAACGGAUAAAAGGUACUCCGGGGAUAACAGGCUGAUACCGCCCAAGAGUUCAUAUCGACGGCGGUGUUUGGCACCUCGAUGUCGGCUCAUCACAUCCUGGGGCUGAAGUAGGUCCCAAGGGUAUGGCUGUUCGCCAUUUAAAGUGGUACGCGAGCUGGGUUUAGAACGUCGUGAGACAGUUCGGUCCCUAUCUGCCGUGGGCGCUGGAGAACUGAGGGGGGCUGCUCCUAGUACGAGAGGACCGGAGUGGACGCAUCACUGGUGUUCGGGUUGUCAUGCCAAUGGCACUGCCCGGUAGCUAAAUGCGGAAGAGAUAAGUGCUGAAAGCAUCUAAGCACGAAACUUGCCCCGAGAUGAGUUCUCCCUGACCCUUUAAGGGUCCUGAAGGAACGUUGAAGACGACGACGUUGAUAGGCCGGGUGUGUAAGCGCAGCGAUGCGUUGAGCUAACCGGUACUAAUGAACCGUGAGGCUUAACCUUACAACGCCGAAGGUGUUU
This 1828-nucleotide ribosomal RNA is filed under the name Escherichia coli. Its description in RNAcentral is "partial 23S ribosomal RNA". It matches the Rfam family "Bacterial large subunit ribosomal RNA", at positions 1135 to 2925 of the family's 2925-position model. The record is from RNAcentral. Lineage: Bacteria; Pseudomonadati; Pseudomonadota; Gammaproteobacteria; Enterobacterales; Enterobacteriaceae.